This 279-nucleotide RNase P RNA is filed under the name Nitrososphaerota archaeon. RNAcentral describes it as "Thaumarchaeota archaeon RNase P RNA component". It matches the Rfam family "Archaeal RNase P". Rfam says of the family: Ribonuclease P (RNase P) is a ubiquitous endoribonuclease, found in archaea, bacteria and eukarya as well as chloroplasts and mitochondria. Its best characterised activity is the generation of mature 5'-ends of tRNAs by cleaving the 5'-leader elements of precursor-tRNAs. The record is from RNAcentral. Lineage: Archaea; Thermoproteati; Nitrososphaerota.
GCGAGCCGGUGAACGAUCACUGCCACGGCAGAGGAAACUCCUCCCUCCAUGCAGCAAGUGUGAUCCGGAGACGGAUAAUCAGAGAUGAUUGGCAACAGCACAGAAAAAAAUCCGACCUGGCGUACUGUGAUGGUGUAAAGCCUGAGGUUUCCAGUACUGGAAUGAAAAAUCUGUCCCACGCGGAGAAAGGCCAAAUCAAACAAUAAGCGCUGCACUUUGUUUAGGUAGGCCGCAUAGCGAAAUAUCGUGAAAACAGAAGGAGGGUUACGGCUGGCGCGC